UUGCUCUGGAUACUUUGUGAGGUGUUCUUUCCUUGGCUUGGCAGCUCGCCACCAGGAGGAUUUGCAGUAGAACCUUUAGGACACUCGGUCUCAUCAUGAAGUAGAGAGAAGCAUCUUUUGCAGUGUUUGGCUAACUGUUCGUAAACCAGGUCCGCUGUCACUCCGUCUCUGUUAUCAAACUCGAUGAUGGAAGAAGUAAUAAGAGGCUUAAGAGAGUUGCUUCAGACCAGAGGUGGCUCGGUAUGCCUUGAACUUGGAUCCAGAAGGGGAUUUGAGAAGGGAAUGAGCUGGCCACCGUUGGUUCCCAUCUCUGAAGGAUAAUCAUCCAAUGGGCGAAAUGGUAAGUUCCUAUAGGGCGGGUCUGAACUCUCCAGUGAUCCGCUAGGAAAGGGAGAAAAACCCACAUCUUCUGGAUUUUGGGGUUGGUGAUUCUUCCCACCAAAGUAAGAGAAUGGCUACGGAUAAGUUCGGAGUUGUCAAAAGGAAACACUUUGACUCUUCCAGCUCUUGGUGGUUCAGGGUAAGAAGGUUCGAAGGAGGAAAAGGAACUGGCCUUCUUUUAAUUGCGAGGUAUCCCCAACAAACUUUGGAGUUCAUGGCUUAAACACAGCGAAUUACUCUGCACCAAUAUCAUCUUGUAGUGGAGAGAGCACUAGAUCUGACUUUCUUAGAAGAGCCGGUGUCUAACAAAAACGAGGAAGAGGCCAAGACAAGUAUCCAGAGGGAGAAGACGACUGCUUACCGUUGGAAAUGGACCCUCCGACUGGUACGCCGGGGGCUGAACCCGGUGAGAACCGGCCAAGCACGGCAAGAGAUUAAAAAAAACUUACUAUAAGUGGUAAAAAAACGUAGCUGAGAUUAAAAGUAGAUCUCAAACUUUUAAGAUAAACUUUGGGAUAAGUGUCUGAGAGAAAACUUUCACAACCUCAACCUUUUUAUUAAAAGGAA
Molecule: long non-coding RNA, 948 nt
Organism: Eutrema salsugineum
Lineage: Eukaryota; Viridiplantae; Streptophyta; Magnoliopsida; Brassicales; Brassicaceae
Exons: 4
Source: RefSeq, a predicted model, not a curated record